UAUAUUUAGGUGUAUGAUGCACAAAGAUUUUUGAUAUCUUAGGGAAUAGUUUGAAUCUGUUAAAUAUAA
This 69-nucleotide transfer RNA is filed under the name Conocephalus gladiatus. Its description in RNAcentral is "tRNA-Gln". Lineage: Eukaryota; Metazoa; Arthropoda; Insecta; Orthoptera; Tettigoniidae. The record is from RNAcentral.